UUUAUGAUGAUGCCUUUAUUCCCCUUUAGAAUCAUCUACAUAAAUACAGAUGCCUAAAGUGAUUAGUUUUUAUUUUAUUUUUAAGAGGGUCAUUUUUUGGUAAUAUACCUCUGAUGCCUAAAGUCUAAGUCAAUGCCCUAACCCAAAAUUUUUACUCUCCCUCGCUAACUCUCUCUGAAACUUCAGCUCCCUCUCAAACUCUUGCCCCAAUUCUUCUAACUCCCUCUCAAAUUUUUCACUCCCUCUGAAAUUGCACCCUCAAAAUUCAUCUCCUGAACAAAACUCUCCUUCAGUCCCUCUGAAACUCUCUGUUUCUUCUAUCUACUCCAUCACUGCCCCAUUCUUGCUAAAACCCUCAGAUGCUCAACCAUUACGAUUCACAGUGAGAAUCAUUCUUCCAUUCAACGAUUCUCAAGCCAGCUCGCACAAUUUCUCAAGCCCAGAUACUCAGACGGAAGUUUAAGUCGGCGAUUGUGUGAUUUCAUCUAUCAGUUCGAAGCAUUUCCCUUUCCCCCAAAAGUUAGGGUUUUGACCACACCCCACACCUCCUCUUCUGGUAAGCUUUUCUUCUCUCUUUACAAUUAAAAUUUAAGGUUAAACAUAUCUACAUAUAUCUGGUUGACAAGUGGAUGUUAAGAUUUUG
This 643-nucleotide long non-coding RNA is filed under the name Prunus persica (peach). RNAcentral's name for it is "long non-coding RNA (PPER_LNC007996)". The record is from RNAcentral. Lineage: Eukaryota; Viridiplantae; Streptophyta; Magnoliopsida; Rosales; Rosaceae.